Protopterus annectens (West African lungfish) is the source of this 1174-nucleotide non-coding RNA. The record is from the annotation of a RefSeq genome assembly. Lineage: Eukaryota; Metazoa; Chordata; Ceratodontiformes; Protopteridae.
CCUAACUGAGCAAUCAGCGAUGUAUUUAGUGUUAUUACUGCUUAUUCUACUACCAGGUUUAUUUCUGUGCGCCUCUGUUCAACAAAUUGAAACACAAGUGUCACCUAAAGAAGGAGAGAGUGUAACACUGAGCUGUACCUGUGAGACCAGCAAUGACCGCAUAUACCUUUACUGGUACCGUCUGUAUCGGAACCGAGCACCUCAGUACAUUCUGUUCAAAGGAGCCAGGUCCUGGUCUGGAUACAGUAACACCGCAGAGUUUGCUCAGCAGAGGUUUUCUUCAACAGCAGAUGACACAUCUACAACCCUGACCAUCACACAGACCUCCCUGUCAGACUCUGCCAUCUAUUACUGCGCCCUUUGGGAACCCACAGUGUGGGAAUGUAAUGAGACACCCGUAUAAAAACGAGCGACACCCGUGUCAGUGCGUGACAUCCACUAUCUGAUGUGUUUUUGUAAACUCCCUUUACUGGAAUAUUUAAGAGAAGAAAGACGCCUGUUAACAAAAACUCUUGCCAAACAGUAACAUUUUAUUUCUUAAGAACUGUAUUUGACAGAGAACGCACGUACUCAACUAGUCUCUGUCAUAAAGAUGUGCUUCUAACUUUAAUAAACUGGAGUGGUAUGACUCAAGAAUUGAACAAUCUGAGAAACAUGAGGUAGACUAUGGUACUGAUAUGGAGAUUUCAAGUCUCAGUUUUAAAGCCUAGUCCAGAUUUUGCCGGCUGUGUGGGGGAGAGGGAGAGGAAAGAAAACAGUAAACAGUAUUUAUUAUGGUUCUGAAGAAAAGCAGCGUUUUCAGAUGUUACAAUUACAGAAAAAUAACUAAUUUUAGUUGAAAAUGCGUUGUCUUGAUAAAAAAUAAAAAACUAUGUGCAACAAUGGGUCUUAAUUCUGAGAAAGUGAAAACUGUCUCCCACAUUCCCCACUAAGUGUAUUAUGGGUUUGUCAUAUCCUACCCAAGUCACACAUUCAGGGAAAAUGUACUGUUCUAACAGACGCACAAGACUGCAAUGUUGUUGCACACAAGCACACUUAUCUGCCAUGUAGGAAUGAAUAAGGGGGUGAUAACUUAUUUUCAUAAAAGACAAUUUUGGUAGAAAGUUCAGAUUUAUUGCAGUGCCGUUUAUUGAAUUGAUUACAGUAAUCAGCCCAAUAAGCAAUAAAUAAGAAA